This 2102-nucleotide long non-coding RNA is filed under the name Medicago truncatula (barrel medic). Its description in RNAcentral is "long non-coding RNA (MTRU_LNC000273)". The record is from RNAcentral. Lineage: Eukaryota; Viridiplantae; Streptophyta; Magnoliopsida; Fabales; Fabaceae.
CCAAAACAGAAGUAAGAAAAGCUUCAUAGAUUUCAACACAUGAACACAUUGGAUUGCAGUCUUGUAUUCUUCAUUACAUGUGAAGAACUCCAAAAUAGAAAACCAUCGAUGUAAUCAUAGAAUACCUUCUCCAAAUAGCAAAACCAUAAAGCCAUAAGAAAAUCUUCCUCACAUAUCAAUCAAUUCCAUAAGCAAGGUCUAAUCACCUUGUUUGUUGCUUUUCUCCACUUUGUCUUCUCCACCUGUAUUAGUCAUACCACACAAUAUAAUUUUAGGGCAAACGAGAACCUAACUACUGAAAAUCAAUUUGUAAGGUAGGUUGAUAGAAUUAGUGAAUUGAUUGUACACAACACCAUAUACAAUUCAAACAUUCAAGAAUUAAAGCACUACGAGAAUUUCAAGAAUUAAGAGUUGGUUAUAGUUGUUACUUUAUUUUCACCAUCAUAAAAAAUAACCAUUGCCAAAGAAUGCUUCAAACACUUUGGAUCUUCUAACUCUUUUAAUUCGUUAAUAUAUAUUUAUCACAAAGGUAAGUUAAAUAGUAGUUAAAAAGAGUACUCAGAUGUAUACACUAUGACAAAGAAAUUAACAAUGAGAUGCAUAAUUACAUCAAUAUGUUUUUUUUGAAUGUUGUGAUAGUUAGUUUCAUGGGAUCCGACUCAUAAUAAUUCAUUGGUGGAGCUUGUUGAACAAUUGAAUUAGAUGUACCCUCUUAUGGAUCCACCAACUUGUUGAUAAUUAUGAUCUACUUCAUUUGCCAACAAGGGGAGCUACUUUCACUUGGGACAAUAGAAGAAAUGGAAGAAGACACUCUAAAAGAAGUCGGAAUCGUCCUAUUUGCAACCAGCUUGUUGGAUCCAUAAACCACCGACAUCAGUUCAUUGGUGAAAUCCAUUGAAAUAUACUCACAAGAUAGCGAAAUCCUAAGAUAAUAAAAUAUCAGAGUAUUAGAGAAAGAGAGAUAGAUCAAAAUUGAAGUUGUACAUAAGCAACAAACACAUGUAUAUAUAGUCCAAAAAUCAAUGCUAACGUUAUGCAUACACAUCCAUAUUUAAUAGGGAUACACUAACUAGUAAAAGUACACCCCUAUUAAAUAUUGAUGUUUAUGCACAAUAUUAACUUUGAUUUUUGGGCCAUAAAUACUUGUGUUUGUUGCUUAUGUACAUUGUCAAUUCUGAUCUAUCUCUCUUUUUCUCACACCCUAAUAUUUUAUCAUCUUAGGAUUUCAUUAUGCUUGUGAGUAUAUUUCAAUGGAUUUCACCAAUGAACUUAUGUCGGUGGUUUAUGGAUCCAACAAGUUGGUUGCAAAUAACACGAUUCAAGCUUCUUUUAGUGUGUCUCCUUCCACUUCUUAUCUUGUCUCAGGUGAAAGUAGCCCCCCUUUGUUAGCAGAUGAAAUAGAUCAUAACUACCAACAAGUUGGUGGUACCAGAAGAUGGUACAUAUAAUUCAGUUGUUCAACAAGCUCCACAAAUAAAUUAUUAUGAGUCAGAUAAAAAAAACCGAUGGAUGUAAGUAUGUAUCUCAUUGUUAAUUUCUUUGUCAUAUUGUGUACAACUAGAAUACUUUUUUUUUUAACUAAUAUUUAACUUAUCUUUGUAACAGAUAUAUAUUAACAAAUUAAAAGAGUUGGAAGAGCAAAGGAUUUAAAUCAUUCUUUGGCAAUUUUUAUUUUUUAUGAUGGUUAAAAUAAAGUAAAAACUAUAGCCAUCUUUUAAUUCUUGAAAUUCUCUUAGUGAUUUAAUUCUUGAAUGUUUUAAUUGUAUAUGGUGCUAUGUAUAAUGAAUUCACUAAUUCUAACAACCUACAUUACAAAUUGAUUUUCAGUUAUGUUUCCUUUUUUCCUAAAAUUAUAAUGUGUGGUAUGACUUAUAUAGAUGGAGAAGAGCAAAAUUAUUGGACCUUUCUCAUUACUUCUUUUAUGAAAUUACAUAUUGGAUAUUGUUUGAUGAUCGUAGUUAGCGGUUGUUGAUGACGAUGAAAGAUAAACUAUAUAUCAAAAUUUGAUAGGAUUGUACAAAAGAAACAUAGAUAUUUUAUAUUAAGGGAUUAAAAAAUUAUCUACCUCCAAUAUCCGAUUAUUGCAAAUUAUCGUUGUCGUC